This 253-nucleotide ribosomal RNA is filed under the name uncultured bacterium. Its description in RNAcentral is "partial 16S ribosomal RNA". It matches the Rfam family "Bacterial small subunit ribosomal RNA", at positions 524 to 776 of the family's 1533-position model. The record is from RNAcentral.
UACAGGGGGGGCAAGCGUUGUUCGGAAUUACUGGGCGUAAAGGGUUCGUAGGUGGCCAACUUAGUCAGACGUGAAAUCCCUCAGCUUAACUGGGGAACUGCGUCUGAUACUGGAUGGCUUGAGUGCAGGAGAGGAACGCGGAAUUCCAGGUGUAGCGGUGAAAUGCGUAGAGAUCCGGAGGAACACCAGAGGCGAAGGCGGCCUACUGGGCCAGUACUGACGCUGAGCCGCGAAAGCCAGGGGAGCGAACGGG